Molecule: long non-coding RNA, 689 nt
Organism: Pelmatolapia mariae (spotted tilapia)
Lineage: Eukaryota; Metazoa; Chordata; Actinopteri; Cichliformes; Cichlidae
Exons: 2
Source: RefSeq, a predicted model, not a curated record
CAUUUCCCUUUCCUGUUCGCUCAGGGAUUAACAUGUGGAUUAGCAGUUGGAUUAGCAGUUGGAUUAACAACUUCAUUUUAAAAAUCCUGCUGCUAUUCAAAUUAGCCACACCGUGGGAUGUAAGGAGCUCUCUGAUUGGUUGGUCAGACACAGGCUGUCUGCCAGCCUGGAUUUUUCUAGCUCAUAGCUUCUCCCUGCUACGAAGCGUGUGUGCUUGUACAAAGGCCGUUCAGCCUCGGGAUUUACACUCAGCUCGACACGGAUAUGUGAAGAAUGAAGGGACCCUGCAGCGAAACGGAGAGCCCAACCUCUGAUUGAGUGCCCGUUUACUCAGUCUGACCACCUGUUGAAGGGCUGUUUGAUGACGAUUUGGACUCCUCUGGGAGAUGGGGACACACCCACAUCUGUUCCAUACUGCAGCCAUGGAUGGUGUUACGGCUCUGAGUCAGCCAUCAGACGCACACACUGGAAAACCAGCGCCUGGACUUCAUGCAGGAGAGAUGACCUCAGUGAUCAUGGACUCUGCAUCCUCUACUUUACCUCCUAAUCUCUUUCUCUUUAACACACAAUUAAAAUCACUCCAAAAGAGUGUAAACUUACUGAGGAAGUCUCUAACUUGUACACAUUUGUACUUUUACUUGUUUUAUGAGUUAUUUUUAAGAAGAGUAAAGUUAUUCACAAAGUUUUUA